This 24-nucleotide microRNA is filed under the name Chlamydomonas reinhardtii. RNAcentral's name for it is "cre-miR1143-3p". Lineage: Eukaryota; Viridiplantae; Chlorophyta; Chlorophyceae; Chlamydomonadales; Chlamydomonadaceae. The record is from miRBase by way of RNAcentral.
UUAUUUGCCCGAAGGGGACGUCCU